Molecule: ribosomal RNA, 437 nt
Filed under: uncultured bacterium
Lineage: Bacteria
Description: bacterial SSU rRNA
Rfam family: Bacterial small subunit ribosomal RNA
Source: RNAcentral
AGUGAACGCUGGCGGCAUGCCUAACACAUGCAAGUCGAACGAUCUUUGGCAGUUUAUCGUCAGAGGUAGCGGCAAACGGGUGAGUAAUACGUGGACAAUCUUCCCUCGAGCGGGGGAUAACUCCGGGAAACCGGAGCUAAUACCGCGUGAGACCACGUCCUGGCAUCAGGAUGGGGUUAAAGCUCCGCAAGGGGCACUUGAGGAGGGGUUCACGGCCUAUCAGCUAGUUGGCGGGUUAAAGCCCACCAAGGCGACGACGGGUAACCGGUCUGAAAGGACGACCGGUCACAAUGGCACUGAGACACGGGCCAUACUCCUACGGGAGGCAGGCAGUGGGAAUUUUGCUCAAUGGGGGAAACCCUGAAGCAGCGAUGCCGCGUGAGGGACGAAGGUCUUCGGGAUUGUAAAACUCCUUUUGCUGUGAAAAAUAGCGGCGU